GACGAACGCUGGCGGCGUGCUUAACACAUGCAAGUCGAACGGAAAGGCCCUGCUUUUGUGGGGUGCUCGAGUGGCGAACGGGUGAGUAACACGUGAGUAACCUGCCCUUGACUUUGGGAUAACUUCAGGAAACUGGGGCUAAUACCGGAUAGGAGCUCCUGCUGCAUGGUGGGGGUUGGAAUGUUUCGGCGGUUGGGGAUGGACUCGCGGCUUAUCAGCUUGUUGGUGGGGUAGUGGCUUACCAAGGCUUUGACGGGUAGCCGGCCUGAGAGGGUGACCGGCCACAUUGGGACUGAGAUACGGCCCAGACUCCUACGGGAGGCAGCAGUGGGGAAUAUUACACAAUGGGCGGAAGCCUGAUGCAGCAACGCCGCGUGCGGGAUGACGGCCUUCGGGUUGUAAACCGCUUUCGCCUGUGACGAAGCGUGAGUGACGGUAAUGGGUAAAGAAGCACCGGCUAACUACGUG
This 468-nucleotide ribosomal RNA is filed under the name uncultured bacterium. RNAcentral describes it as "partial 16S ribosomal RNA". It matches the Rfam family "Bacterial small subunit ribosomal RNA", at positions 28 to 507 of the family's 1533-position model. The record is from RNAcentral.